AGUGAACGCUGGCGGUAGGCCUAACACAUGCAAGUCGAACGGCAGCACAGCAGUAGCAAUACUGUGGGUGGCGAGUGGCGGACGGGUGAAGAAUACAUCGGAAUCUACCUUUUCGUGGGGGAUAACGUAGGGAAACUUACGCUAAUACCGCAUAAGACCUUCGGGUGAAAGUGGGGACCUUCGGGCCUCACGCGGAUAGA
RNAcentral lists this ribosomal RNA (200 nucleotides) under uncultured bacterium. RNAcentral's name for it is "partial 16S ribosomal RNA". It matches the Rfam family "Bacterial small subunit ribosomal RNA", at positions 29 to 225 of the family's 1533-position model. The record is from RNAcentral.